GAUUAAUUAACCAGCAGAUGACAAGCCUGCAGGAGAUACACGGAUUACAUAAGGUUAGAGAUCCCUCUGUCCACACACAAACACACACACACACAGACCCACAGUGUUAAUGAUGAACUGAUGUUGUCUGCAGCGAUUGGCACAGAGUGUGUGUGUGACAGAAAGAGUGUUUGCUGAGUUAUGUCAUGCAAGUGCAGACUUGGUGUUAUUCUAUCAAAUUAUGGGCAGGAAGCUUCGCUCACAUUUUCACUUCAGUGUGAUUGCUCUGAGUAAAUUCACAUUUUCGAAAAGCUUUCAGAAGGGCUUUUGUUUGUGAGGCAGGUGGCCUUUAAAAAAACAUAAGUGGAAAUGUGUGAUUCUGAGAGCAUCUGGACCGACAAAAAUGAUGAUAAUCUCUUGGUCUGUGGGAUGUGACAGUAUCACAUUGUAACAAGUGAUUUAUUCACUGCUUUUGGCAUUCCAGUAUCAUCAGGACACAGCUUUGGGUAAUGCUUUACAAUAAUCAUAACUUAUGAGUGGUAAUUAGACCAUAUAUAAAUGGUAAGCAGAUAGUUUAUUGAUAAUUAAUCAUCAUUUAUAAAUAGCAUAUAGACCAUUAAUAAAUUGUAAAUUUUAAAAACCUAACUUUAACUUUACAAUAACCGUCUAAAUAAUGUUUUCAGGUGGUUUAUAAACCACUUAUUCAUCAUUUACAAAGUAUUACAAACAUCAGUUGCAACUUUACAAUAACAAUCUAAGUAAUGUUUAUAUAUGGUUUAAAAACAAAAAUAUUAACCAGUCACAAAGUGCUAAUCAUAAUUUCAUUGCUUGUUGAUGGUAAAGUAACCAUUAACUUACAUUAAUAAACUAUCUAUUUGCCAUUUAUAAUUGGUCUAUUUGCUGUUUUUAAAUGAAUAAACUAUCUGUAAGUGUUACCCAGCUUUGCAACAGUACCUGAAUGCUACAGCUUUAAUGGACACUAAAUGCAACAUUUAGCCCAUUUUACCAAUAUCAGUCUUCAAUAUUCUAAUAAAGACUGCAGAUUAUAUGUUUUAGGUAUAGUUUUGGGGAAAAGGGGUUGAAAAUGUUUAAGGCACUGAUGGUGAACCUUGCAGGAAAUGUGUGGGCACCGCGAGCUAAGUGUGCAGCAUUCAAGUCCAAACAAAGAUUGUAUCAUUUUGUAUCCUAUUGUGUCUUUUAUGUCUCAUUUUACAUAUAUGAAACAGACAGGGCUUGGCCAGUGAUGUCAGCAUUGAGCAGCGGUAGUACAGGAGGUAGACAGUCGUCCAAUGACUGGAGUGUUGGUGGUUCGUUUCCUCCCUGUCCCGAGUCUGUCCGUUGUGUCCUUGGGAAAGACACUUAACCCACCUUGCUCCCAGUGCAUGUCCUCGACUGGUGUAUGAUUGUGAGUGUUGUGUGGUGGUGGUUGGAGAGGCCGUGGACGGCGCAAACUGGCAGCCCCAUUUCCAUCAGUCUUCCCCAGGGCAGAUGUGACUACUACGAUAGUUUACCAAUGAUGUAUCUAAUGUAAAGCACUUUGAGGGUCUCUGAUAAGGCACUAUAAAAUCUGGUGCAUUAUUAGCAUUAUUUAAAAUGUAUUAAAGUUAAAGUAAUUUUGGAGUAUAAAUGAGAGAAAAAAAGAGCGUGGAUGAAAUCCCAGAGUACCCAACCCCACGGACAACUGGAGCCAGUAGAGAGAUACUCAUACUCAAGUGUGGCUGCAUACUGUCAUGCAGUUUCUACCACAACACAGACUAAUUUACACACGUGCUUCCUCAGCAUGCACAGCCAAACCUCCCUGAUCUCUAAUGAAAGCCUUCAUUAUGUGUAUACGGCCACCACUUAGGGCGUCUUGCAGACUAAUGAUACCUGUUUCCACCACUCUAAACUCCGACACCAAAGACUCACAAUAAAUCACUCACUUCUCAUUGCACUAAUUAAUAAAGCCGUGCCAGACUUGGAGACUCUGAGAGGAAUUCAAUAAUGUUCUCAGAAAAACCUUCAAAGUCAGACUCAAUUAUUAAAAUACAAAGCAGCCUCUGAGUUUGUUUUUGCCCACUCAGCUAAGGGGGGAGGGGUAGUUAUAGCUCUGCGGGUAUUUCUGAAUGUGUUUAUGCUUGUUAGUGUGUGUGCCUUAGUAAGUUGUGUUAGUGGCUUUGGGGUUCAGGCCGCCAACCCCUCUCAGCGGGAAGGCACUGUUGUAACCACUGGGGUCAAAACACUGUGAUCCCAAGGCUGCCAAGAGGUCAAAGGACACGAGCCCUCAGGGGAUCCAGCGGAGACACUCCUGGACCUACAAGGUUGAUUCAGGAGACAGAACACAAACUUUCCACAAUUAGAAAUGAAUCCCAUUAAUCCAAGCAGGUUUAUUAACUACCAAGUCUGCCACGUAAUCAGGGUCCAAAAUGCCACUGUGUUUUACCUGUGGGUGGCUGUAAAGGUAGGACACAACGGCAUCAUGUUUGAAACGAUCGCAUUUCAUUCGAGUAUAAUUUCAGACGGAUGGGGGUUAAGUUACCUCAGAGAAGUGAUACAGCUUUCUACUGACCUUCAAAUGCCAAAUUAGAGAUCACAAACAAAGCUACUUUAUGGGCAUCAUGUGCAAAUUUGGUUUGGAAAGGUCCUUCUGCAAAAGUCAAUCAAAUUAAGCACUUUAAGUGUUCAGCCAGACACUAAAUUGGUUGGCUGUUGGUUUGAUGGAUGUGCAUUUCCUGCUAAGUAGUUCCCAAUUGUACACAAAAACCAUAAAUCAUGUGUGGUUAUGUCUCUCUUUGUGCUUUCAGCUACUCUGACGCCUCCACCAGUUAAACUGAUUGCUACCAAGAAGCAUCACAAUCACAAGUCUGCAGCUUUUAAAGUCACAUUUGGUGCCGACCAACUAUCUGGUAAUCGCAUCACAGUCCUCUAAUAUUGUUAGUGGGGUCCCUUGAGGCAAAAACACAAUUCCAGUGUCAUGCAUGGGUAAUCUUGUGAUUCGUAAUAAAAAGCUAAGGUUUUGAUCAGUACUUCACUUUUGCUUCAGUCUGGUCUUUAACUGGGACCACCUUGGAGAUAUUUUUGAGUUGAUCCUUGCAGCAGCCAUCCAUGUGGAAUAAAGACACUAUUCAUUGACUUACUGGCCCGAUUACUGUUGACUUAGGCAGAGGGGGGAGAAAACACGAAAACAUGUGCUGAUUUAGAAGGCUUCAAAACCUCCAGCCUCGCCUGGAUGAAUUCAAAUGUAAGUCUGCUCUGGAGCUCGAGGUAACAAAAUUUGUGGCAGCUUUCCAUUUCAACUGAAUCAGUAAAGCACUAAUGUACAAAACCUGCAAUCUGGCAAAGUAAGGCCCCCACAUCAGAACGCUUUCCAUCUGACACAUGAUAAUCCUUUUCCUUUGACCUUUCUUCUGUGCUGCGUGAUCUUUGAGUGUGUGUAAAACUCUCUGGUCCUGCACACUUUGGUCCUCACACCCCCUGAUCCUUUGUGUACUGCAGAUCAUCUCUUAAUGCUCAACCAUGUCCCGCACAAAGCCAAUGCUUAUUACUCACACCCGAUUGACUCACAAUGAAUCCCAACGUUUCAUUGCGGAGCGCCAAGUUCAUAUAGCAGCACAACUACUCUUUUUCCAGGGGGGUGAGUUUGACAAAAUGACCACUAUGGAUGACAAAGUGUCCAUUUGCACUUCCUCAACACUUUGUGGUAUCUGACUCAGUUUGGUCAGCUGGAAAAGCUCUGAGAUAGGAGGGCUGGAGCUUACCCUUUUAGAGACGUGAUUUGGCCAGUCUAGUGUCAAUACAGAGCUGGACAAAUAGGCUGCUAUGUCUACUAAAUAGGCUGGUUGUGUAUUUUUAAAGAGCUCAUUAUGCAGGAUUGCCUGUCCAGCCCUGCACAUGAUCUCUCUCCUCCUUACUGUCAAUACAAACUGAAGUGAGACCUGUUUGGGAGCUUCAUUCACUACUUAAGACACAGAAUGGGCUACAUAGCAGGCAGCCAUUGUCAUGAGAGGAGGCUAAAAUUCUUAUUUAAAGUUAAAUAUGAUUCAUCACCCAGCUUUAUGUCCAUGUGCCAAUCAGGUCAGUCAUGCCCCUGAUUACUUGCAACCUUUAUAUCUCCAAAAACAAAGACUUUUCAAAAAGACUGACUCCCGUACAUUGUGCACAUUUAAUGAAAAAGGCUCAAACCAAAAAUAUUUAUGUAUUCCAGGAUGAAAACAUUGUUAUUUCUACCUUGAAAAAGGAGGAUUCAGACAAUUUUCUCUACUUUUUGUUGGUUUCUACUGUCCAAUAUUGUAGCAUGCUAACUUUGUUUGGGCUCCUGAACGACACAGGGGAGCAGCGUCCACCUCACAACCAAUCAGGUUGGGGGAGGUGGGGAAUGGCUUUGUUUACAGUCAGAAAGAGCGGAGCGCUCUGAAAUUUUAAAAUGUUGACUACACAGACAUAACAAAACACAGCGAUAUCCUUAUAUUACCAAAUGUCAUCAAUAACUAUUAGCUAUUGACUGAUAUUAUAAGCUUUUUUGUGUGUACACCACAAAAAAAGAUGCUUCUUUAAAGGAUUCCUGCCUACCCGACCUUUAAAUUCAUAUUGAAUUUUAUCAAUCACACAAGCAGGACUAUCAGCAAUAAGACAGACAAACUACAUUUUGAUUUAUAUUGCCUAAAACUAGUGUAGGGGGUAGGCGUCAGCCAAGCGGCUAGAAAGAAAACUCUUUUUUUGAACAUUUUUCCAUCUGAAAUUAGAAAUUUUACCACCAGAAAUCACUAUGAUAUUCAAGAUGUUGGCUUCAUUAAUCAGUUGGCUCCUGCUUGUGUGUAAAAGUGACUGUCCUGAUUUAGUUUUUUAUUAUAGAUCCAUACUGGAUAUUUACUCUUAGGGUUAGACAUAUUGUUUCAGAAACUGCUGGACGUUUUUGAAGUUAUUUUGAGAAAUGACAUCGACCCGUAUGUUGGGUUGGAACCAGGCUGCGAAGUCUCUGUACAUGGCACACAGGUUAACCACAAGGCCAAACUGGCAUCCAAAAUCACUUUGAUGAUGACUUUCCUCAUAAAACUCCCAGUAGUUACUAUUGUAGACUUGGUAUUGCGCUUACACUAAAACCUAAGCUAGCAACAGUCACUUGGGCAAGGUAGAAAAACAACAAGUAAACAAGAAAAGCAGGAGGCUAAGAUAAACGUGUCGAGCGUAAAGAAAGUGACGAAACAAAAACAACCCUGCAGCACUGCAAACCUGAAUAGAAAGAAGCUCCCUACAAUAACAGCAGCUGAAGGGGGGGCUGAAUCAUGCUAGCUUGAUUAACCUCGUUUGCUUGAGUGACCACAAGUGUGUGCACGCUCAUACACACUACACACGCAUGUGCUUCAUCUUUGUUUGAUGCUUACAUACAGUAUGCGCAUACAUGUGGGUUUAUGUAUGUGCGCAUAACAACCUGCUGUUUCAGAGGCGUUCAUUAAAGCCGUACCAGCGCCUUGGCCCCCCUGCUGCUCCAAGCUUCAUGUAAAUAUAAGGGGAAGACAAUAAUAGAGCUCAGACUCUUAAAAACUCUCAGGAGUCAGCUGCUUUGCAUGAAUGUAACCGCACAUCCAUCACAUAGAGCCACGUCAAAUUUAUUUAUAUAGCAUUUUUAGAAUAAACAGGUUAAUUACAAGGUCCGCAGUCAACCAGACGAGAUCACUCUGCAGCCUGAGGCACCAUAAAGGCCAGCAUCAACCACAUUAAACAACCAUUGUGAGUGAUGUGGCGAAGCUUUUUCAUCAUUGUGGGAAAGUUGUGAGAGAGUUUUAUGGACGGCUCAUUAAUACAGAGGGCUGCUGUACAUCAACAAGAGAUGCUCCAUAUUCUGCAGAGCCACAGGAUUAGCCAAGCAUGUUGUUUUUGUAGGCUAAUCUGUGCAUUCAGGAUUAACCAUGCCUUCAUUAUGUGGAUUUACUGUAUACUGAGUGAUUACCAUAAAGAUUUGAGUCUUAGUGUCUUCUUGCCUUGCAUACAGCAUCACAGAAAGACUUGUUGACAGUUUUUCCUGCAGCAGUUCAGGUCAAAUUAGACCGGGUUGCAAUCUUGGUCUUUUGGAGUUUAGGUCACAGAAGAUAUACUGUCGAAACUUAUGAAAACCUUGUUGUCUGUGUGUUCUUUUGUUGGUGCAGUGGACAGAAAAUAAAACAAGUUUUGGAAGACGCCCACUUCAUUACCUCAGUUUGCACAUGGCAGUUGUUUAUAUGUAUUGCACAUGUGCCAAGUUGGUAAGCUACUGGCAAACAUCUGCUUGGUACUCUGUUUAUUUGCAUGUUCGCUGGAAAAACUAGCUGUUCUUCAUCUGCACCACACUAUUUCAUACACCACUCUUGGUAGUUUGUAAUUUUCCUCUCUGUAAACAGUGCGCAGAUACCCAGUACGUAUGCCAGCAAUGGUCUUCCUAUUAGUGUUCGACAUGCAAGACCGAUUAAAUUAUCGCAACCUACUGGUCUGUCAUGCUUGUAUGAGCAUUUUCAAACAUUUCUGUUUUUUAAGGUUUCAAAAAUACCUGCCUCCGUUUGGACUUGGCUUGAGUUUGAUGAAUGAAUCAUCUCAGUGCAGGGUCAGGUGUGUGUGUGUGUCUAAUUGUCCCUGAUUAAGACCAGGUGUGGGAAGUUGAUAUAUCCCUUUGGGUUCCCGUGCUCUGUUUUCACUCAUUAUCUCACCAUCAGAGGUAGUGAGUGGAUCCCUUAGUGUUUUGUUGUGUAGGGGUGUGUGAGCACACAGAACCACUAAAAAGUCUUGCUUACCAGUUCUAGUUGCUGUCAGUGUCUAGUUUGUUACUGGUUGUGUCAUUAAUGACAUGACCUGGUAUAAUUUGGAGAUAACCCCUGCUUAUCAACCCGACACAGUGCCUUCACUUAAAAGAUUUUAUGGUAGAAAAGUUUUUGUAUAAGUAACAUAUAUGUUCAGAGACACUGACAAACACCCAGGAUCUUGCCAAUAGAAGCGCAAGAUUCUAGAUAUAAAGCUACAUAGAUCAUCUCUUUUCUUUGAUAUCCGGCUGUUACAUUUCAAAAAUGUCUGCCAUGCAACAUGUGCUGCGGAGGCCUUUCACAUGGGUGCCACCUCGUGUCAACAUCAGAUGAAUCCAUCCAGUCACAUGUUUGUUGAGAUCAAAUAGGUCCAUAGUAUCACCAUGAGAGCCCUGAGGCCAAUCAAUCAGCUCAGUAAUGUGAACUGAGGAUGGUAACAGGAAAACAUGUUGUCCCUGCCUCAUAACACAUCCAGUGACUGCCCUGCAGGAUCAACUUAGUUUUACUGGCGAAACGCAGAUUAACACACAAACCAAGCCCUGUGAGUUGAGCUUAACACUUUUGAAUCACUAAUGUCAUUUCCUACUCCACGCCCAGUUGUUACACUCCUGCUGUUCCCAAUUGCUGAAACAGCAGGUUAAUCACAUCUCAAAUUUGCAAAAUGUCAAUAUCCUGCCACGGUGUUUGCAUUCCCAGCUCUUCAGCUAUUUCUGGAGUCACGAUGGGUGUGCUGACAUUUGUUUCCUGUCCUGACUGUCUGGACUGGAAGGCGGCUCAUCGGGAGAUAAACUGUCCAGACAAUAAAAAAUUCAAGAGAGCAUUCAUCCAUUAAAAGACAUCACUGGCUGAGGUUUAUAAGAUUCCCAAGAAGAAGUGAUUAUAUCCUUUUUUUUUUUAACUUAUUUGACGUCCUGUUGACAUUUCACCAUGUCACUGGGACUUCUUUAAGUCUCCGGAAAGUUGGAUAUGUGUGGCAAAAAUCAUCUUUCUUGGCAAGACUGCUGCGAGCGGCUGGAUUUUCAAAAACUGCGAGAUGGUGCAAGUGAACCAAUUUGCCACGCCCCUUCUGUAAACCAAUGCCUAGUUUGCAUUAUUACCAUGAUGCACAUGCAAUUUCCAGGCCCUCAAAGCUUCAACAGAUGACAGGGAAUAAUAACAAUAGUAGCUAAAUCAUUAUUUGAUGGUUUAUAAAAGUUUAACACUUCUGUAGAAUUUUUUUUACCAGGUGAACAGAGUGGAUGAGGGUGGAAUGAAGGUGAGGGAAAAUAUUAGCAACACUAACACAAGUUAUUGAACUUGGCAAAGCCGCGUGUUGUACCAACCUGAGGACUCCUUUUAUUAGUGUGUUUAAAGUGUACUUAAUGGGAGGAGUGCAACCUCAAGUUCUGGGAUCUACCAGCUAGAUCAUUUGGGUGCAUCCAAAUAUGUCAUCAGUGCAAUGUGUCAUUGAGGCAUGUGACAAACACAGUCAAUAACCUGCUUUGGGCAUUUAGAGGACGAUUAUUCUUUCACCACUGCUGGUAACUUGAUCUUCCAAUCAAAGGACUUGUAAAAAAUAGUUGCAACAUAACCCAGCAGUAUGUUGCGCCCCCAACAGACCUGGAGCCAUCUGAUUGAGUUUCCUUCUGCCCUCCUGUUCAUCUGCUUCAGUUUUUAUGGUUUGAGAUCCCUAUUUCUCUUUAGGAAAUGUUUUGACCUUAUCAGCCACUGUAAUUUCAUAAUUCCUCAGACCUUUAUGGAGCUGGACAAAUCUUAAAAUAAAAUCCUCAUUUAGAUUCCUCCAUGUGUCCUUCUCUGACCUUUCUAAUUUCGAUGACCUCAGUGGAAGUUAAAUGCCAAAUUCCAAAAAAUCCAGCCGCACGCUCUACCCAGCCGAGCACACAGAGCUGGAAUUAUUGUUGUUCUCUUCCAGCAGUGCCCUUUCUGGCUGACUCCGCAGAGAUUUGCACAUUAUGCAGAAUGACACUUCCCAUCGAUCAUCUGCCAGACAGACAGACUGACAGACAGGCAGCUGUGUCUGAACUUUGAGUGACUUCUCAUUUGUCCUGCAGCGAAAGCCCAUCAGUCUCAGCUUGUAUCUGUCAAACUGCACCUUUACUCUACGUAUUAGGUGAUGAGAUGUGUGCACCUGUGGCAGUGAGAGUUUAUUUUUAACGUAUUUUGACUUGUUGCGUAAUGUUGGCACCUAAACUUCAGGCUGUUACUGAAAAUUCUUGACAGACCUAAUUUGAUUUAUGCUCAAAUUUGCACCUGCUGUGAUAAAGAUUAAUGUUGUGUGAAUUCAGAAACAUUUUGUUCCUUACGAAGGAUGUUUUUCGAAUCUCAUUUUCAGGGAAUUUUACGGCAGUUUGUUUUUCUCCAAACAGCCUAAACAGAAUAGGCCAAAAACAACAGCAAUACUUUCAUAAUUAAAUGAAAAACAAAUGAAAGUAGUUUCUCUUAUUAAGCUUGACUUCCUUAUUUUGAAAAGACAUCCCGCAUUAGUAUAAAACAUGACCCAUCCGACCGCAUCUUUCUUAAGACAAAUCAGUUAUGACGGGGCUUUACUGAUUACUCAUCCCAUUACCAUGUCCUGUUUGGUAAUUCUCCAAAUAAGUGGAUUCCAGACAAAAAAUAACCCAAUCUCCUUUAUUGGACAUGACAUAUGCUACCUGAAGCAUGUCAAAAUAAAAGCCUUUAAUCUAGACAGAAACAUUGAAUCAUGUUUUAAAAAAUGUUUUUCAAAAUAAAAUGGCGUUGUCUCCACGCCAUGCAGGCCGAUCGAUGAUGUAUUUUAAAGUGAGGAUCCACAUGUUAUUGACACAGCAGCAGGUUUACAGAGGGGAAACAGCCUGCGGCAGGGAUCAGGGAUGUGAGAGCAAUAAAAGGUUCAUGUAAAACCAUAUUUGACACACACUGGUGCACAUGCAAAAGCCCAAUGUACACAGCGAACAAGGACACACAGAUACAGUAACAUUAACUAACGUGAACACAGUUAAGCAAACUGAGACCAGUUCAUUCCCAACAGUCAUGCUUACUGGAAUCAGGAAAAAUAAAGUGUAACUAUGAAUGUUGAGGGAGUUUACACCAGGGCUCACUAUAUCUUGCAGAAUCGAUAUCUUUAUUAUCGUUUUCAGCUCAAAAAACUUUCACAUAAUGUUCUUUCAGAGUUGUAGUUCUUCAUUCCAGGACUCAAACUUCUGACCUUCACAUGUUUUGACUCAUGAAUUGGCUUGGACUUGAGCAUUGGUGUCUCUGGACUUGCCUCAACUCAUGGAAACUCAUUAAAGCUUCCACAAGCAGCUCUGUUUGUCAGUUUUGGCCCCCCUUGUGGACAAAGUAGUCUUAACUUGAGCAGAACUUUUUGAAAAAAAAAUCUCAUCCUGAAAAAAUUCACAUGAUUUAAACUCACAGGUAUUCUUAAAUUUACUCCAUGCUGAGGGAUUCUUCGAGCCUCCAAAAUGAUGCGCUGAUUAAUUCCUGGUGAAAUCCGUAAAUGUUAAAGGCGAUAAAAGCUGACACAAAAGAAUCCAGUUGAUAUCAUUUCCACAAGGGAGGGGAAGUUUCCUGCACUUAGUUCUGGUUUCCUUUUAACAUCUUUGAGUCCCUGGAGCUUUGCUGUCAGACACGACUGAGGCACCGCUGGCUUUUUAAGUCCCCCAUGUCUGCUACGCCCCACAUUAUAUUUCCAUCUCAUAAUGAUAUAUCCAAUAUACGGGAAUGAAAGUAAAAACUGGCUAUACAAAAUGACGCACAUCAUCACUUUGCCAUCAAAAGAUACGAAAAUAAGUCCAGGGCACGCCAAAGGCUUCACAUCUAUAUGUUUUAAUGAGCCAGACAGCCUCUAGGAAAUGACUCAUGUUUAUUUCCAGCUCUUGAGAUGAAUGAUGGUAAUAAUGCUGCUCUGUGUCCUAUAUACUGCUCCUCAUUAUUGCAAAUUACACAAAGAAAGAUACACAGACAGUGAGUAAAUAACUGUUCCUGCCCUCCUUCUACUUACAUGAACCCUUGUACUGUGCAAUUACACAUGAUGGCAAACAUCCUAUUACUGUACGAUUCCCCUCACCCACUCAGGAUACUUUAUAUAGAAAUAUGAGAGGGUCAAACUUCAACGAUGGACCAAGUUUUCUGUUACUCUCAAACACAAUAUGAAUAAGUACUUGGAAUGAGUUUUAGAGGCUAUCAGGAUGCUUCAACUAGAUAUGCCUAUUUUUUUUUUCCAGUCUGCUUGUCCAGCAACCCCCACCCUCCUUUAAUGAUUUUCUUCUCCUAUCCUAUAAUAUACAGACAGGGUCAUGGCCUUAAUUCGACCCUAUUUGCACCCCAUCCUCCACCCCCCACUCUGUGUAUCCAGAUGAUGCGGGACAGCUUGGGAAACAAUGGCAGACAGGGCAGACUGAGCGUCUGAAAGUCUCUUUGUUUACAUCCUGCUAAUUAUGUAACACAUGAUGGAUCAUAUCGUUUCUGUCAGAACAAAUGAAUCUCCAAAAGCUGGUGUCAGGAUUUUGACAAGUAUUUCAAGAUGUCUUUUUUUAGGAACAGAGAGUCUGUACAGGGUGUCCCAUAUCACGACUGCCUGUUCUGAAAUGUGAAUGUAGUCUCAGUGACGUCACUCACUAGUUUCUGAGAAAGCACGAAGAGACCAAAUGAUGGCAGUUGCCAUGUUGGAAAUGCUGACUCAACUCCUAUUUUCAACCAGUGUGACCACAGGCAAAGAGGUGGAGCUAAAGCAGUAGCUGUUUAAAGCCUCCAGACAAACAGCUACAGCGCCCCAGCCUGUCAGUCAAACUAGAAAUUACGUAAAUUCAUCCCACAAGUUAAGAAAAACAGAAACAGUAGAGUGGAAACAAAAAAUCAAUGUGUGCAAAUGAGUUGAACACCAGGGACAGUGAAAACAACAGUGGACCAAGGACAGACCUCUGUGGAACCUCAUGCGUAACUGCACAGGGUUUUAAUUAAUUAAAAAUUAAUGCAUCAGAUUUCAUAUAGCACUUUAUCAGAGACCCUCAAAGCGCUUUACAUUGGAUACAUCAUUCAUUAGCUCACACAGUCACACUUUGGUGGUGGUAAACUAUCUUUGUAGCCACAGCUGCCCUGGGCAGACUGACGGACACAUGGCUGCCAGUUUGCACCUAUUGCCUCUCCGACCACCACCACACAACACUCACAAUCAUACACCAGUGGAGGACACACACUGGGAACAAGGCGGGUUAAGUGUCUUGCCCAAGGACACAAUGGACAGAGUCGGAAUAGGGGGGGAAUAAGACCGCCGACCUUCCAGUUAUUGGGCGACCGCUCUACCUCGGUGGUUCAACUGCUUUUUUAGAAAGUGUUGUUGAUGAAAACCCAAUGAGAUCUUUCAGACAGGUAAGAGCUCAACCACCGAAGUACCUGACCUGAGACAAUACAGCUAAAGAGGUGCCGUGACCAUCCUGAACAUAUUCCUUUAACACCAACAUAUAUCUCCACACGCUCUCAGUGGACUGGAGAUAUAUUAGGAGAGAGGUUGAGUUUGAAAGUUUUCAUUGGCAGGACGCUCUAUCUCCCCGUCUCUCUGCUCGACCCCCUGGAGUCUCGCAAAACUUAGCAAGGCCCCACAGUUGGAAGCGGGAUUUCCACAGGCAUGCACACACCAUGUUUUGUCCUCUUUCAGACAUGCACUCUCUUGAGGCAAGUUUAUAAAACAUUUCACUGCAAGCUUUCCUACGCAGGGGGUUAAACCUUGAGUCUGUCAGCGCAGCAAUGACAUAUUUUUUUGGACAGCUGGGGGAUGAAUCACUAAGGGAGGAAAAUAAAAGGACAAGACAAAAAGGGCAAAGGAAAGAUCCUGCAGCAGAGGGUAGACGGUGACACACCGUUUUAUGGAAGGGCUGGGAAGAGCUGCUCAUAUUUUUCAUGUCAGUUGUUAUUAGACUGCAUGAAAGACAUGCAGGACUGAUUUUAGUUGGACUUGAGGCCAUUUUGCCCUGGCUGGUGUCCUUCCUUUGCCAAAUAAAAAUCAGUGACAUGUGUGUAUCAUUUGUAGUCUAAUCCCCAAACGAUUCACUUUACAAAUUCGGAAUGUUUAACUGAUCCCAGGACAGCUUUUAUGUUUUAGGAGCGGUAAUCAAUAACAGACAGUGUUGGUGGGUCUAACAGCAUUGGCGCUGACUCACAUGAUGCAAUAACUAUUUAAAACUUGCUGUAGAACUGUAGAUGGACAUUCAUGAUCUCCAGAGGAUCAGCCAGAAAGACAUAAGGAGUCCACCUAACUUUUAGACAAGCAGCUAUCAGGUCAAAAAGGUAACUUUAUGGUGAUGGCAACUAUUACUAGCUGAGGAUGAAAUUGCAGUUCCCAACAAAAGCAAGAUAUCAGUUCAAAUAAAUUGAUUUAUCACUGUAAUCUGACUGAAACUGGACUUAAAAAAGAAUAGAAAAAACAUCCCCAGACGCAUGAACUUGAAGCUUUCACAGAAUUUGACUUACAACAUUGUGAAUACCCCAAGAGGGGGGCGCUCAUAUGGUCUCCUCCUGAUGGUAACACGACCCCAUUUGAAGUACAGCCGCGCAGAACUGCAGGAGAAGGUGUUUUUAUAUGUAUAAAUAUCAGGUACCAUAAACACAUAACAUAUGGUACAGGUUCUUUCUCUUUGUGUUUGUAUAGUAGGUGCAGAAAUGUUACAUUCACAUGAACAUAUACAGUGGGAACAGCAGAGGCGUUUUGUAGAUGCAGGUCUGCAAACAAUGGCUGCUGGAUAUACUGUGAGACUCUUUACAUGAGUGUGGGAAUGGGUUCAAAUUUGCAUUAGCAGGUCAAUGUGCUUUUGAAUAGGUUUGUCUCUUUGCAUGUAUGUGUGUGUGCUGUAAGGGUUUGGAUACAGAGAGAGGCUGUUUUCAGGCCCCCGUCCCUCCCCAUCCCUCCCCAUUCCUCUACAAGUCCACAUGUGUUUUAUUAGCAGGCAGGCCCGCUGGACUGUAAAUUCCAGCAGCGGGCUGGCCUGAGGAUAUGCACAGCCCGAGGUUCAAGGGAAAAAAAGGGGGACAAAAACUGAAAAAAAGAGGCCAGGAAGGAGUCACCUUUCUGUUGUCUUACUGCCAUUUUUAUAGUGUUUGACAAUCUUAUUUGAGUCCUGUUUGCUCCUCUCUUCAUUCCUUUCCUCUUACCCAAACUCUCCCUAAUUCUUUCAUUAAGUUGAGUCCAUUUCCAACCCUACUUUGCAAAUUACUCUCCCGCUCUUUGUCUUUCUGUGUCUCAUUUGUGGACUGUUUUUUUUUAUGUCGUCUCUUCCCUCUCAUCCUCCCCUCUUCCUUCCAUCUGCUCUCACUCUUUCUCUCACUUUGUUUCUGUUUCUGCGUGUAAAUCUUCAUUCUUGUUCUGUGAGUCCAAAACCACUGCAUUCCCACAACAGCAAACACUUAGAGACAAGAGCUGUGGCUUAAACAAUGGUUUCCGUUUGCCCCGGGACUGAAUAACUCACUCUCUGCCUCCCCUCCACACACAUACUCUCUCUCUUUGUCACACACACACAACAAAAAGAUACACACACUUUGACACACAUUUCCACUGCAUGGCUCCUAUCAUUAAAUUUUAUGUUAGCUUGCUAAUUUUCCAGUCUCUUUCCUCUCCAUCAACGUGACAAUCAUAAUUUAAGCGUGACAAGGUAGGUCAUGACCUAAUCCCCUCUGUUGCCCCCUGAACCCUGACACCCUCCUCAGGGUGCAACAGCAUGUUCUCAGUUCAGACUGUACCAGCACAGUGAGAGGGAGGAAAGUGCGAGUGAUGGAGGUGAACCUAAGAUAAGACAUUAAGUCCUAUGUCCAAAGUGAACCACACUGAUGCUGUUAUGGUUAGUUCUCCUGUUUUGAGUUUCCAGUAAAGGUUUUAGGGUUAAGGGUUACCUUUUGUCGAGGGUUUACCGAGCUCACAGUUUUAAGAUAUGCUUAGCCAAGUUAGGUUUGUCCCGAUUCGUGAAUUUGUACAACUCCCAUGUAGAAGAAGCACAACCAUAAACCACUCGAAAAAAUGCUCUUGACAUGUUCAAGUUAAAACUCCUGUGAGAAACUUUUGGUUUCUGUCUACCUUGGACAAAACAGUCUUCACUUACUUUAGCUUAGCUCGUUCUCUAAAUGCUUUAACAGCAUCCCCUGACCAAAAAAAAAUUGCAUCCUGCUGACUUUUCACAGCCAAAUGAUCAUUUUUGUGAAUAUUUGAGGUGGAAAUUGUUAAAACAGGGCUGUUUCUUUGGCUGUUUGGCUGACACCUAACCGCUCACUCUGAUUUAAGGCACUAAAAAUUAUGACACAAAAAUCGUCAGUCAUGUCCCUGAUGGACAUGUGUUUUAAUGAUAUAAACAGGCAUUGAAAAUGAAAGCUCACAAUAGCUUUCACAAAUAAUCAGGUUUAAGACACUACUUACUUAUGUGGAGAACAUGAUAGGUUAAGACUCUUUUGUCCACUAGGGGUGCCAUAAUUGACAUAAACAAAAAGUCUCUCACAGGAGCUUUAAUGAUUGAACAUCACAAGCAGCAGUAUUUGAAACAGUAGGAACUGAAAGGCUACAGACCAUUUCAGCCCACGCUUUUUCAGUGGCUUUCUGGGCUUCUUGAACGACAACAUUCCUUGGCCAGGAAUCCAGUAAUUGGGUUAAAGUUGGCUAAUUUUAACCUUGGACACUUCACUUCCACAAGUAAAUUGGAAGCAGAAACUUAGACAAAUCCAUGAAAGUGUGUGACUCCAGGUAAACUUGAAAACCAUUUUUAUUCAUGAAUCCUUUUCUGGCUGAUAUUUGGUUGUCAGAGUGUUCUUUAAGGAAAGCAAAACACAGAUUCUUCAUAUAAAAUCUAAAACUCCUCAUCAGGUUUUACUGUGUGAGAUCGGAGGGUCGUAUUGUAAAUGUGCAAGUCAUAAAUGCAACAUUUGGCCCUUGCCUUUAAGACUCAAAAAUCUUGUAAGCCAACUCAUAACUCAAAAAUGUGGAUGAAAAACAGUGAAAGUGGGGCAGUCCUUCCUUUUAAUCCUACCUCUGAAAAUGUACCUCUAUCCAGGGGCAUUAGUAGGCACUGCACUUAUUUUUCCACUGCUCUGUUAGUUUUUAGCAAGUUGAUCCUGUCACCUAAGUCAGCUUUUUUCCUGUCUUGGAUACAUAGGAGUUGAUAGGGGAAAAAGGAAGAGUCAGGGGCUAAAAACAUCUCUUGAGGAGUUUAUGAGUGGUGACGCCAUUGUGCUGUGCAGUUUAAUUACCUCUCUACCAGCAGGUCUGGUUCCCAUUAUGUCUGCUAACAGCCAGCUCUUCUCAGCGCUGCUCUCCUCCCCGCUGCCUUGUCCUCAAUUGGCAUCCCCUUCACCACAAAAAUACUCAUCUCAACAAGUACUUCACCCCAGCAUUUGGAUUCAAAGUGGUCUUUUCUUUGCAAAAAGUGGCUGAAUUUACCAACAAGAGAACUUCAUGUACAUUUUAGUCAGUCUGGAGGAUCUGUUUGUUAACACUGCAUGUCUUAAAUGCAUGAAAGACAAGUAUCUUCAUGGGACACCUGCACUUCAAAGUGAUGUCAUGUCAUCAUUUUUAAUUAUCCGUUUGACAAACCAAGGGUGUGAAAAGGAGUUCACUGGCAGCAGUUACCCAAAUGAUUUUAAGAUGAACAUUGUGUGGAUCCAACAUAUGUGCAUGCAAGCAGCCCCCUCACUGUUUCACAGACAGGAUGUGGAAACAGUGUUAGACCGCUAAGCUAAAGACAAACAGCAAUGAGGGGUGAAAUGAAACCGAGGGGAUUCAACACAGGCCUCUCCCGAUGAGAGGAUGUGGUCAGAACAUCCCCUGUCUGAAAUAAUAUAGUAUUAUUCCAUACAAUUUCUGACCAACACAUGGACUCAUGCUUGCUGAACACACUCUAGAGAAAGAUGCUUUUGUUUCAGAGUUUGGAACAAUGAACAGUUGUCUUACUUUUAAGUGCCAUGGAGCAAUUUUUACUCAUUAUAUGUCAGAAUGAAGCCCUGUGCUGCGAAUACGUCCAAGACUUGGUGGUCUUUUAAGACCACUUAUUUGUUCCAGACUGAACAUCAAUGAAACUGGUAAUGGCACAUCAGUGAAACUAUAGACAAUCAUGGUCCCAAGAUGUUAUGUCCUGUUGGCUUUGGUGAUAUUCUUGACUCCUUUUCCAGUAACACCAUGUGGUUGAGCUGAUGCAACCAAGUUAGAUUGCAAUAGAGGUCCAGUAUGCACAAACAUUAAAUUUCCCAAUUUUGGUGAUGCCCUUUGCACUUUGAUAAAUAUUUGUUGUGAAAUACACAAUUAACCAAGUAACAGAUUUGUGCAGACAUCUGUGGUCCCAAGGCGACAUACCCUAUUAAAAAUGGUGCUUGCCCUUUUAUGUUGUUUCAGUCAGACACAAUCCUGUCACAGAUUUCAAACUAGUUUUUGCCCUUUAUUUAAACAAUUGUUUAAGCCCAGGCUACUCAGUGAGCAGCCAAUUUCAGGAAUGUGGGGUGGCAGUAGCUUUGGCGGUAGAGCGGUCGUCCAACAACUGGAAGGUUGGUGAUUCGAUUCCCCCCAUUCCUUGUCUGUAUGUUGUGUCCUUGGGCAAGACACUUAACCUCCCUUGCUCCCAGUGUAUGAUUGGUAUGUACGUCACUUUGGAUAAAAGCGUCUCCUAAAUGACAUUGUAAUCUUGUGAUUGUAAUUGUAAGAAUGGGUUUGACAACUUGAAUCUUGUAGACCUCGCCCCUCCACUUUGAAAUACUCUGUACAAGCAUGCAUGCAAAGCUGGGCGUAAGAGAAACAAAGAUGCUACUGUACAUCCUGAAGAAGCUAUUCUCCAGUCAUGUGUUAUGUAAAUAAUAAAAUCUCUAUAUUAACAGUAGGCGUGCUCCAGACCUUGCAUUUUUAUGAUGCCAAAUGCAGCAUGCAUCCUUAAAAGGACACCCAGAGGGGAAUCUGCUUGUCUGGUUUCUGGAUGAUCUUUUUAUUAAAGGCCAUUUAAGAGGAGGCCAAUUGAGAGGUUCCCACACAGACUAUUAUUUUAAUUUGCUAACAUUUGCAUGGUAGUAGGCAGAUGUGCCUAGCCAGCUAAAGGGAUUCAAAGGGUAUUCAUCUGUUGUCUUGUUUCAGUAUCAGUACACAUGAGAACUAAGAGGUACGGUGAAUCUGUAGCCUACAAUCAAUUUGAUGAUGCAGGUCCAGAAAUGAUCCCCAUUGCUCUGUUUUACAUACUCUCAGCUGGAGGGGAGCAAACAGUGAGAUUGUGGUAUGAGACUUUUCCACAGGUUAAUAAACAGGUUAAUGGACUGGAACGAAGCCACAAGUUAAUACACAGCAAUAAACUGUAAAAUAAUUCCUGCUCUAACAGUACGUUUUUACAGAGUAGGAAGUGAAGUUUGGCGAUGAGUAGUUCUUGCCAAUGUCAUCCCCCGCUGCCCCUUUAAGAGGUUUCAGCCCUUCGUCUCAUUACCUGCAGGGCUGUAGGGUGAAGAGGAUGUGGUCUGCUUAGCCAGGAUUUAGUAAUGUUUUCCCCCCAACACGGUUUGCAGACUCCAGCUGUGGACACAAGUUCAUGUUCUUCUAUAUGUGCACACACACACACAGAGACACACAGGAUUAGCCCGAUUAGUCAUUGCUCGCCAUGCUGAGUAACAUAAAGAGGUGGUCCUGAGUCGAGAAGACACACAAUUAAAAAAAGACAUGAAUCAAGAGCCAAAAGCCAUGGAAAUGCCAUCAGAGGCAAUGUGGAGUAGACAAGGUUACAGCUGAAUCAAAUGUGUUUGAGGCCGAGUACAUGGACUUAAAAAUAUCUGCCAUGUUGUAUAAGCAUCGAGGCACGGCUGGUUUGACUGACAGGUGGGUGCUGGAGCUGUAUGUAUACCAGGUGGUGCAGCACUGGCCUUAACUCCAAGUCUUAAGUGGAGUUAGCUUUUUGAUUGCCAUCUUUGGGCUCAACAGCACAUCUUUAGUAACCAACAGAGAUAAUAAAAAAAAGUCCAGAGAGAUCACAGAGAAGGUGUUGAAAUCAUCGCUUUGGAACCAGCCCAUCUCCGUGGAAGAGCAUGCCGGGUUUGUCGUCUGUUGUAUUCAUGGUACGUCCUGCUGUCUCGAUCCCACAUUUCAAAUACUGGCUCACCAGAACUGUCAAAGUUCAUGUCAACAUACGAGGGGAUUUAAGACAUGAUGUGACUGCUGUUGGUUUUGCAACUGACAUUUGGAGCUCUGACAUUUGUCCCAUGUCUUUGCUGAGCCUAACUGUAAGCUGGAUUGAUGCACUGUUAUGUUUUACUGUGUUUUCAGUUGUUUAUCUGUAAAAUGAAAAUAUACUUAACAUUAAAAGACAGUUUGACAUUAUGACUAUGAGCUUUGAACUUCCCUUGCUUGACAUCAGAUGAAAACGCUUCUAUGGGAAUAAAGUCAUUCAAGUAUGAAUGUGUAUCACUGUGAGUGAGUGAGUGUGGAGCCAUUAGUUAUUCUACCUUUGCUUAGUGGGGUCAGCCAACGGUGUGAAUGCUGACACGGUAAUAUAAAUCAUACUGGACAACUCCUACAAGUACACUGGGAAAACUUGGAUUUACACUGUGAUUUAAGGUGUCACAGGGCAUUUCCGGACUCUUUUUCAGUUAAAGAGCAAGACAAAUGAUGAGGGUAAAAACGGGGUAAAAGUCGAAGAAAGGUCAGGAGACAGGGGAUUCAAUCUGAGGCGUAGGAUGUGAAAAACUGCACAUUAAAUCAGCAGUGGAGUGUGUGUGUGAAAGAGGAUGAAAAAGACAAAAGUUCUGAUUAGUUCUUAGCUGUAGCUUUCUUUGUAGCUUGUCCAGGUUGUCUGCUUAUCUGGGUCAGGGCCGCAUUCCAGACAAAUGCAGCCCUAUGUCUCCUCGCUCUGUCUCUGAAAUGCUGCUAAUGUAGCCAUUAUCUCCGUGAUUUGGUGAUAGGAGACGUCCAGCAACACUCAUUCUCGGUAAUUACAGGCUGUAGCAAGUCUUAGCCAGGUAUGCUGCUUGUCAAAAUGGUUGAUCUGAGGAAAGUAGGUUUGCUUCUUAGUUUUUUUUACAUAAACAGCAACUAAACUCCCUAAAUGUGAGUUAUUAGCUGCAGUUUGUAAGCGUCACUGGAGAUGUUGCCAAAAUGGUCUGAAAAGGUCAGACACGCCAAAUGUAAUGUAUUUGGAAACAACCUAAGAGUGGAGCUAAGUGGGAAACAUUACCUCGGUGUAGGAUUGUGAUUACAUUCAAGAGCUCAUCGGUCAUUCUCAAGAGGUGAAGCGUAACUGUGGGCGGGUGGACCAGCUUGACCCAACAGUCGUCUGAGUAAUGGACCAAGUGAGAAAUGUCUGGUUUGAUACUCGGAUGAAUAAAAGGGAAGCAAAAAAGAGAAACUCUGGUCAAGCAGGAGGAGUAAACUGAUGACCUACUGAACAACAAUGUUGAUCGAUAUCAAGAGAAACAUGGAGAAACAAAGAAGAGACAGAGAUAGUAGACUAAUGGACCAGGAUGGGCAGUUAGUCUGCUCGUAGGGCUGAUACUAUCUCUGGCAGGCAUUUUUCUCACAACAGUAGACAGUAAAUCAAUCACAACUGACUCAGAAAGGCCUGAGGAGGUUAGCCCUCUAAAAAUGCUUACUCUAAACAUUACACUAACAUCCCACAGACGGAGUCAAGAUGUAGUUUUAGAAUGACAGUAACUAAAAAUAGUUUAAAAAUGAUGAAAACUAAUCUGCUAAAACUUCAAAAACUACAUUUAAGCAAACAAUUACCAUGACGCCGAGUAGCUGUAUAUUUCUUCUUCUGAAGAGGAUGAUUAAAUUGAUAACAUUCUUAAAGCUAAUAAAGCUCUGUGUCACAGUUUACUAACAUUUUUGCAAUUCUAGGCAUCACUGUGGAAUAACAGCAGACAGUAUUGAGCAUGUGGCUCCAAGAGCUGGGCCUAUACUAAAAAGCAGUCUCAAUUAGGGGUGUCCUAAUAGGAUAUUGAUAUCGGAUAUCAGCAAAAAAAGAAUAUCGGACUAUAUCAACCUGCAUCUAAAAUCUCCAAUAUCAGCACUGCGACACAAGCAGCCCAUUCCAGACUCCGCUCCAGCCCCUCUAUCUAGCAGCGCCCUAAUCCAGCAAGUUUAACCAACAAAAACAGUGUUUACUAAGGUACUAACUAAGAGUGAUGUUGGACUUGUGGCAGUAUUUUUUGUUUAAGUCCGAAAAAGACAUUGCAGCUGAGUGAAGAACUUGUCAUAAUAUCGGUAUUGUGUGUACCUGACUUUAACAACCUUGACAAAGAAAAUCACCCUUCACAGUUCCACUGAGCUGGUUAUCAGCCAUAUACGCCAUAUAUUCCCCCUAAUCCAAGUCUGUCCGUUGUGUCCUUGGGCAAGACACUUAACCCACCUUGCUCCCAGUGUGAAUGUACCUUUGGUACUUUGUGUGUAUCUGACUUUAACAACCUUGACAAAGAAAAUCACCCUUCACUGUUCCACUGAGCUGGUUAUCAGCCACAUGCGUCAAACCCAUAGACUGUAUAAUAACUGGACAUCAUGUUGCCGGUCUGUUUCUAAAGUGGAGUUUUAAAGCUAAUCAGUAGUGGUUGCUAUCUUGGAAAUGAUUGCUCAACCUAGUUUUUGGUCAACCAGGGGCGGGCCUUUAGCCUCCUCACUGUGAGCCACUGUAAAGUGGCAGCAGUAGAAGAUUUUUUUAUUGGCCAGUCAUCAUUUUACCAAGGAUGAUACAAAAUCAGCAAUAUUCAAAGAGUUACCAUUUUGUCCACACGGGGUGCCAAACUCAAUUAAAACCGAAAGUGCCUUACAGGAGCUUUAACUUUCAUUAGUAUUUAUCAUAAAACCAGAUAGGUAUGCCCUAACCCAGGGCCCUCUGGAGACGCUCACACAGCUCCAUGAUAAAGUAAUUUGAUUGGCCAGGGGGUGGAGCUUUCUUCAGACUGAUCUGUUAUCACAAAUCUAACCAGCCUAGAGCAGUAUUGGUGUUCAGCAUGAGUUACCAUGUUGAUCUACCCUGAUAAGAAGUUAAUCACCUUUGUAGGUGUACAUAUAUCCCCAAAGUUACCUGACAGCAAAUCCUGCUUUGUAGUACAUCCCAAACUUCUGCUAUUCCAUGUCUUAAACCAAUACAGACAGCAAAGGCAGAGGGAUUUGGUCACAGUCCAUCUGCAUUAAGCUACAGGCUUCCAGCUGCCUUCUUCUUCUCCAGAUGUUUGGCUGUUAUGUUGGUUCCUUGAUGUCACCCUGGGCUUUAAAAAAACGUCAUUGGUGCAUAAUUAGGUACAUAUUUUCACUUGCUGAAAGGAUGUCUUCCUCUCCUGCCAUGUCCGUCAUAUGACCCUGCACACAUGAGCAUAUAUAUUCAGUGCAGACAGGGUCGUAUGAAAGGCUAGUUUGUUUUAACACAUAUGCAGAGUCUUUACAGAUUAUAACCAGAGAGCGCCAACUGAUUCUUUUUCUACAUGAUGUAACUGUAGCCUUGAAGGGCUGAAAUUAAGUGAGAAGUGAAUGUGCCAGAAACAAAAUCACAGUGAAAGGGAAACCAAGGCUUUGUUUAGUCAGAUUGUCUGCUGAUGGGUGAUUAUCAUAAGAACUUCCUUUUAUUCAUCGUCUCCUCUUCAGUUCAUGAUCUUGUUAAUUGUCCACACAUUAGCUGAGAUUUCCUGAUCUGUUAUCCGGGGGAAGUGACUGGUGUCCAGAUGACUUACUGAUGGUGUAACAUGCCGUGUUACUCUGGCCUGUAUCCACUUGCUACCUUCUUUUUAAGCCUGCAGUGUUAGAUAGUUGGAAGUGUAUGAUAAGAACGACCAUUCCUUGAUAAACAGGGUCACACUAUAGCACCGUAAUAGAUUCCCAUAGUGGUCUCACAGGGUUCACCUCACCACAGGAUGCUGGCUCCAGACCAGGUCCUAUUGUAGCACGUAAGUGAAUAAGGCCACAGUUGGUUGGUCAACAUGUAUAUGUUUUUUCAGGACUCAUAGCUGGCAGGAAAAAGUUGUGAAAUUGCUUUUCACAUUGGCGCACACCCCCUGUUGCUUUUCUGAGUAAGUGUGGCAAGCCUCAUUGCAGACCGCUUAGGAGGGCAGUAUUUCUUUCUGUCAGUGGGCUGUGAACACUAAACUUCUGCCCAGAAACUUUAAGCCUGUGUGCAAAGUUAAUAAAAAAGAAAAGGGAAGAAAAAGAGAGAGGGGGCGUGGAAGAAGACAAGAUAAUUUAGAGCAAGUGAGGAGGAAAAAAGCGGAAAACGAAAGAACAAGAAGUUUUCAUUGCUUUGAUUUAAGAGAACUUGGCUGUCCAGAGGGAGGAGGAUGUGUUUUCUAUAAGACCGAGCCAUAAAAGCAAGCUGGAAAUGGGAGAGCACUUUCAAUCAAAACCAAGAUAUUUGUUACAGAGGAUGCUGGGUGAGGAUGACACUGCUGGAGAGUAAAAAGGAAAGUUGCUUGUGGUGCGGUUAGCAGCAAAAAUCUACAUUUUGUGGGUCAUUUGCUUUGAUGAUGCUCUCUAACUUUAACGUCAUCAAGCAAGACCACAGUCCACAAGGGGAGACUUAUGGGUAAAAAUGAGGGAGUGUAAAGAACCAUAAACAUUGUUGUCCCGCAAGUACAACAAGAAAACACCAUCUGAUUCAUGUAACAUGGCUGAUGGCACGUAGCAGAGUCGGGUAAGACAUACAGUGUCAGCUGUGCCUUCCCUGUGUGUUGUUUUAUAGCUUCACCAUUCAUCUUCCCAUUCACACAACUAUGCACCACCAUUUGUCUCUGUGAUGGUGGAGGAUGUCAUAAAUCUCGCCACUGUGUAUGUGAGUCUGCACACGUAGGUGUGUGUUUGCAUCUCUGGUUUAAGUUACAAAACAGACAUGAGGUGCUUUCAAAUGCUUCUAAAGGCGUUAUGGUUUGUUUCCCCUAUAAAUAUCAUACUGUGUUGUUUUCAUUUGUCCGCUUGAACAUGGUUUUGUUUGAAAGAUAUCGAAGAGGGAUCAUUAAAUGCAGUUAUAAACAGCGAUUAAAAGUAGAUCUCAUUUGGUUUAAUGGUGAUUGGACUGGGCAAAGUGACAAAGAGAAAUAGCACAGUCCAUAUUUUCUUCCUGCUUAAACCAACUCUAUGAACCCGUUUACUCCAGCUGUGAAAUACCAAACAGUAGACAGACAUGGUGACUGAGUAAAAAGUGGACUAUUUAGUCGCUAAAUAAGCUGAUAUUUCAGUCUGGAGAUGGAGGAAACUGAAACAGGGGUUAAAAUAGGCACUAACUAUUGAGCCUGUGAUCCUAGAUAUGUCGAAUCUCUGAAUAAAUGCUCCUGUUGUUGACUUUUCUUCUUGUGCAUACACCCAAAAGAUUACCAAUAUUUUUCACAAUAUUUUUUUACAUGUUUGCCGGGUAUAUUGUGCAGUCUAUGCAUACCUGAAGGUACAGAGAGCUCAGAUUUAGUGAUAAUGUUUUAUGACUUGAAUUUCCAAACCUAACUCUUGGUUUCGGUCCCUCUCUCUUUCUCCCCCGGCCUGCGUGAUCGUCUGGUAUGGCAGGAAUGUCACACAUCACACACGCAGUGGCAGCAGCCGCGACAGCGACCACACACUCUGGAGGUUUAUGGUCAGUUGACAAGUGGAUUAUCGAACCUUGAGGUACGAGGACACCAGGCGCAUACCAACACCAGAAACAUAUCUAUUCCUAAAAUGAUCAAGAAAAAGGGGGUGUGGAAAUGGACAAAAACAGCUGUACUUCAUGGAUGGACUGUUUUUUUGUUCUCAGAGAUAUUUGCAACUGAUCAUUUACACACAAAAAGCCGAUCCCUCCUGGAGGCACAUCAGAUGACAACUAUCUCACCCUGAGUAUGUUUGUUG
Xyrichtys novacula (pearly razorfish) is the source of this 24483-nucleotide non-coding RNA. Lineage: Eukaryota; Metazoa; Chordata; Actinopteri; Labriformes; Labridae. The record is from the annotation of a GenBank genome assembly.